AGGACGAACGCUGGCGGCGUGCUUAACACAUGCAAGUCGAGCGGUAAGGCCUUUCGGGGUACACGAGCGGCGAACGGGUGAGUAACACGUGGGUGAUCUGCCCUGCACUCUGGGAUAAGCCUGGGAAACUGGGUCUAAUACCGGAUAUGACCUGCUCUCGCAGUGGGGGUGGGUGGAAAGAUUUAUCGGUGCAGGAUGGGCCCGCGGCCUAUCAGCUUGUUGGUGGGUAAUGGCCUACCGAAGGCGACGACGGGUA
RNAcentral lists this ribosomal RNA (256 nucleotides) under uncultured soil bacterium. RNAcentral's name for it is "partial 16S ribosomal RNA". It matches the Rfam family "Bacterial small subunit ribosomal RNA", at positions 26 to 285 of the family's 1533-position model. The record is from RNAcentral.